This 70-nucleotide transfer RNA is filed under the name Leucostethus fraterdanieli (Santa Rita rocket frog). Its description in RNAcentral is "tRNA-Val". The record is from RNAcentral. Lineage: Eukaryota; Metazoa; Chordata; Amphibia; Anura; Dendrobatidae.
CAAAACGUAGCUUAAUUUAAAGCUCUUCGCUUACACCGAAGCUAUAUCCGUGAAACCCUGAUCAUUUUGA